This 418-nucleotide ribosomal RNA is filed under the name Streptomyces sp. BS3. RNAcentral's name for it is "bacterial SSU rRNA". It matches the Rfam family "Bacterial small subunit ribosomal RNA", at positions 596 to 1012 of the family's 1533-position model. Lineage: Bacteria; Bacillati; Actinomycetota; Actinomycetes; Kitasatosporales; Streptomycetaceae. The record is from RNAcentral.
GAAAGCCCGGGGCUUAACCCCGGGUCUGCAUCCGAUACGGGCAGGCUAGAGUGUGGUAGGGGAGAUCGGAAUUCCUGGUGUAGCGGUGAAAUGCGCAGAUAUCAGGAGGAACACCGGUGGCGAAGGCGGAUCUCUGGGCCAUUACUGACGCUGAGGAGCGAAAGCGUGGGGAGCGAACAGGAUUAGAUACCCUGGUAGUCCACGCCGUAAACGUUGGGAACUAGGUGUGCGACAUUCCACGUCGUCGGUGCCGCAGCUAACGCAUUAAGUUCCCCGCCUGGGGAGUACGGCCGCAAGGCUAAAACUCAAAGGAAUUGACGGGGGCCCGCACAAGCAGCGGAGCAUGUGGCUUAAUUCGACGCAACGCGAAGAACCUUACCAAGGCUUGACAUAUACCGGAAACAUCCAGAGAUGGGUG